CACGGGGGGAGCAAGCGUUGUUCGGAAUCACUGGGCGUAAAGGGCGUGUAGGCGGUCAGGUAAGUGGGACGUGAAAUCCCUCGGCUCACCCGAGGACCUGCGUCCCAAACUGCUUGGCUUGAGUAUGGGAGAGGAUGAGGGAAUUCCUGGUGUAGCGGUGAAAUGCGUAGAUAUCAGGAGGAACACCGGUGGCGAAGGCGCUCAUCUGGCCCAAUACUGACGCUGAGGCGCGAAAGCUAGGGGAGCAAACGGG
This 253-nucleotide ribosomal RNA is filed under the name uncultured bacterium. Its description in RNAcentral is "partial 16S ribosomal RNA". It matches the Rfam family "Bacterial small subunit ribosomal RNA", at positions 524 to 776 of the family's 1533-position model. The record is from RNAcentral.